RNAcentral lists this ribosomal RNA (767 nucleotides) under uncultured Lactobacillus sp. Its description in RNAcentral is "bacterial SSU rRNA". It matches the Rfam family "Bacterial small subunit ribosomal RNA", at positions 734 to 1502 of the family's 1533-position model. The record is from RNAcentral. Lineage: Bacteria; Bacillati; Bacillota; Bacilli; Lactobacillales; Lactobacillaceae.
ACAGUACUGACGCUGAGAUGCGAAGCGUGGGGAGCAAACAGGAUCAGAUACUCUGGUAGUCCACGCUGUAAACGAUGUCGAUUUGGAGUUUGUUGCCUAGAGUGAUGGGCUCCGAAGCUAACGCGAUAAAUCGACCGCCUGGGGAGUACGGCCGCAAGGUUAAAACUCAAAUGAAUUGACGGGGGCCCGCACAAGCGGUGGAGCAUGUGGUUUAAUUCGAUGCAACGCGAAGAACCUUACCUGGUCUUGACAUCCAUAGAAUUCUGCAGAGAUGUGGGAGUGCCUUCGGGAACUAUGAGACAGGUGCUGCAUGGCUGUCGUCAGCUCGUGUUGUGAAAUGUUGGGUUAAGUCCCGCAACGAGCGCAACCCUUAUUCUUUGUUGCCAGCGAUUUGGUCGGGAACUCAAAGGAGACCGCCGUUGAUAAAGCGGAGGAAGGUGGGGACGACGUCAAGUCAUCAUGGCCCUUACGACCAGGGCUACACACGUGCUACAAUGGCGUAUACAAAGGGAAGCGAAGGUGCGAGCUGGAGCGGAUCUCAUAAAGUACGUCUAAGUUCGGAUUGGAGUCUGCAACUCGACUCCAUGAAGUCGGAAUCGCUAGUAAUCGUAGAUCAGAAUGCUACGGUGAAUACGUUCCCGGGCCUUGUACACACCGCCCGUCACACCAUGGGAGUGGGUUGCACCAGAAGUAGAUAGCUUAACCGCGAGGGGGGCGUUUACCACGGUGUGAUUCAUGACUGGGGUGAAGUCGUAACAAGGUAACCA